UACGGAGGAUGCGAGCGUUGUCCGGAAUUACUAGGCGUAAAGGGCAGGCAGGCGGAUCCAUAAGUUUAUCGUUUAAGGCGUCGGCUUAACCGGCGUAGGGCGGUAGAUACUGUGGAUCUGGAAUGCGGUUGGGGAAGACAGAAUUCCUGGUGUAGCGGUGGAAUGCGCAGAGAUCAGGAGGAAUACCGAAGGCGAAGGCAGUCUUCCAAGCCGUUAUUGACGCUCAACUGCGAAGGUGUGGGUAUCAAACAGGAUUAGAUACCCUGGUAGU
This 271-nucleotide ribosomal RNA is filed under the name uncultured prokaryote. RNAcentral's name for it is "partial 16S ribosomal RNA". It matches the Rfam family "Bacterial small subunit ribosomal RNA", at positions 524 to 794 of the family's 1533-position model. The record is from RNAcentral.